GUUAUCUGAAAGUCCUGUCUGAUCUGUGGGUGCCUUUAAACUAUUUUCAAAUAUCUUUUCAUUUUCACUGAAGUUCUGAGCAGCAUUUUUGCCUUGCAGUUCUUCUUUACAACCACUAGAGGGCAGCAAACACCCAUUGUCGUGUCAGGUUAAACCAUGUGGCAAAAAAGGGUCAGGUUUGAAUUUGUUGUGUUUCUUUUGGGAAACUUAAAGUACACACUGUGCCAGCUUGGUGCGGCUGUAAGAGCGUCGCCACGGUGACCUCCACGACCUGCGGGGAGCGAGGGAGAGGUCGGGCAGCAUGGUAGCCACGGAAACCUCCAAGGCGUGCGGCCGUCCGCACACCGGGUUCUCCGUGGAGCAGUAGUACUCACACUGGCCGUAGAAACAGACGUUCCCGGCUGAUGGAGACAAAGAGGACACGACUUGAGCGGGAAGUCUGAGAUGUUGAAACGCAGCAGACUCGUCGUUUACACACAAACCAGGAGAGGUGAAGAAAGUCUUCGCCAGCCGGCGGUCAGUGCUCCGAGGAUGGGUUGUGUUGCCAAAUAGUGAGUCAGCUGGUCCAGGUUGGAGUCUUUCCUGUCGUACAGUUCCCAGCGAGAGAUGCCCAAGUGGAACCGCAGCCAGGGAGGGUGAGUCUCCUUAUCGCUUGUCCAAGUGAUUUUAUCAUAGCCUUCCUCCUGACUGGCGCUUUGCCUGGAGGAAAGGAUGAACAAUCACAACCACAAACGUGCCGGUUUUUGUGCACUUUUGAAAAGAAUGUGGCGCUUUCAUGUGUCUGAAUUAA
Molecule: long non-coding RNA, 790 nt
Filed under: Oryzias javanicus (javanese ricefish)
Lineage: Eukaryota; Metazoa; Chordata; Actinopteri; Beloniformes; Adrianichthyidae
Description: lncRNA (ENSOJAG00000016639.1)
Source: RNAcentral